RNAcentral lists this long non-coding RNA (216 nucleotides) under Nicotiana benthamiana. RNAcentral describes it as "long non-coding RNA (NBEN_LNC036818)". The record is from RNAcentral. Lineage: Eukaryota; Viridiplantae; Streptophyta; Magnoliopsida; Solanales; Solanaceae.
AACAAGGGGAAAUAGUACAAAAUCUAUUACAAGACAUAUUACAAAAAUUACAAGGAAUGGAGAAAAAUAUUGAAAAGCUGGAAAGCAGAAUUAGCCAUACGGAAGAUGGCAAAAAGAGCAAGAAAUAGACCUGCAAGAAUUUAAAGAGAUACCAAUUAGCCAAAAAAAAUAUGACAAAAAAGAUAAAGGAAAAGGGAUAGAAGUAACUACACACCA